UUUGAAUAUAAUUUAAAGUAGGGCCUCCCCACUCAUAAAAAUUGAAGGGCCGCAGUAUUUUGACUGUGCAAAGGUAGCAUAAUCAUUAGUUUUUUAAUUGAAAGCUUGUAUGAAUGGUUUGAUGAAAAAAAAACUUUCUUUAUUUUAGUUUUUAAAAAUUUUAUUUUUAAGUUAAAAAGCUUAAAUAAUUUUAAUAGACGAGAAGACCCUAUAGAGUUUAAUUUUUAAUAAUUAUUAAAUUUUUAGAAUUUUAAAAUUUAAAGUUUAAAUAAAAUUUAGUUGGGGUGAUUAUAAAAUUUAAUUAACUUUUAUUAAUUAUUAUACAUUAAUUUAUGAUUAAGUGAUCCAUAAAAAUGAUUAAAAGAGUAAAUUACCUUAGGGAUAACAGCGUUAUUUUUUUUUAGAGUUCAAAUCGAAAAAAAAGAUUGCGACCUCGAUGUUGGAUUAAAGUUGAUUUUAGGUGUAGAAGCUUAAAUAUUUGGUCUGUUCGACCAUUAAAACUUUACA
RNAcentral lists this ribosomal RNA (507 nucleotides) under Hippodamia notata. RNAcentral's name for it is "partial large subunit ribosomal RNA". The stretch from base 381 to 507 matches the Rfam family "Bacterial large subunit ribosomal RNA", at positions 2473 to 2600 of the family's 2925-position model. The record is from RNAcentral. Lineage: Eukaryota; Metazoa; Arthropoda; Insecta; Coleoptera; Coccinellidae.